GACGGAGGAUGCAAGCGUUAUCCGGAAUGAUUGGGCGUAAAGCGUCCGCAGGUGGCAGUUCAAGUCUGCUGUCAAAGACCGGGGCUUAACUUCGGAAAGGCAGUGGAAACUGAACAGCUAGAGUAUGGUAGGGGCAGAGGGAAUUCCUGGUGUAGCGGUGAAAUGCGUAGAUAUCGGGAGGAACACCGGUGGCGAAGGCGGCCUUCUGGACGGAUACUGACGCUGAGACGCGAAAGCGUGGGGAGCAAACAGG
Molecule: ribosomal RNA, 253 nt
Filed under: uncultured bacterium
Lineage: Bacteria
Description: partial 16S ribosomal RNA
Rfam family: Bacterial small subunit ribosomal RNA
Source: RNAcentral